AAAUAAUGCUUCACAUAUUGGAUUAAAAUAUAACUACAAAAUAAAUUAAGUAAUCAAGUUAAUCGCAAAGAAGUGGAAAAAAUCUAUUUUGACUUACUGCACUUUAUAACUUUCACAUAAUACAUUAUGAUACCAAAUCAGAAUUUGAAUAUGCCAUAGUGAAAUAUACUUUCACUUACAAUUUGGAAGAUCCUCUAUGUUAAAAUGAUAUUCAUACCGAUAUUUCCAAUUGCAUUUCAAAAUACCAAUAUUUUGGUAACAGUGAAAAAUAAAUUAACGCUUCACAUAUCGGAUUAAAAUAAUACUACAAAAUAAAUUAAGUAAUCAAGUUAAUUGCAAAGGAGUGGAAAAAAAUCUAUUUGGACUAACUGCACAAUACCAAUGAUAUUAAUUGAAAACUAAAAAUUGUACUAGUGUUAAUGUUUUGUAAUUUGCAUGAUAUUUUAUAAUUAAUUUAAAUGAGGUGACAACAUCAAUCAUUACAACUUAAAAGAUAAAUGUAUAU
This 505-nucleotide long non-coding RNA is filed under the name Acyrthosiphon pisum (pea aphid). RNAcentral's name for it is "uncharacterized LOC107882539". The record is from RNAcentral. Lineage: Eukaryota; Metazoa; Arthropoda; Insecta; Hemiptera; Aphididae.